AUUGAACGCUGCGGGCAGGCCAAACACUUGCAUGUCGAACGAGUGGCGGACGGGUGAGUAAUGUCUGGGAAAAUGACUGAUGGAGGGGGAUCAAUACGGGAAACGGUAGCUAAUACCGCAUACAAUCGGAGGUGCACAGAUGGGAUUAGCUAGUAGGGUGGGUAAAGGCUUCCCUAGGCGACGAUCCCUAGCUGGUCUGAGAGGAUGACCAGCCAACCGGAUACUGAUACCCGGUCCAUACUCCUACGGUAGGCAGCAGUGGGGAAUAUUGCCCAAUGGGCGCAAGCCUGAUACAGCCAUGCCGCGUGUAGGAAGACGGCCUUCGGUUUGUAAAGUACUUUCAGCGGGGAGGCCUUACCCGCAGGUGAAGCCCCGCCUAACUCCGUGCCAGCCGCCGCGGUAAUUC
This 406-nucleotide ribosomal RNA is filed under the name uncultured bacterium. Its description in RNAcentral is "partial 16S ribosomal RNA". It matches the Rfam family "Bacterial small subunit ribosomal RNA", at positions 30 to 526 of the family's 1533-position model. The record is from RNAcentral.